UGUAAACGCGUGCUAGUGUAGUGUCCCCGUGGUCGAAAGGUCGUGGUAAUCCAUAAUCCAUGUCAAGACUGGGAUAGUCCCCUGUAACUAUUGGUCUUGAACGAGGAAUUUUUAGUAAUCGCCAGUCAUUAACUGACGAUGAAUGCGUCCCUGCCCUUUGUAA
Molecule: ribosomal RNA, 163 nt
Filed under: Fuligo aurea
Lineage: Eukaryota; Evosea; Eumycetozoa; Physariida; Physaraceae
Description: partial small subunit ribosomal RNA
Rfam family: Eukaryotic small subunit ribosomal RNA
Source: RNAcentral